CACAUUGUGACUGAAAACCAUGAGUAGUUGGAUGUACUUUGUGCAGAUAUGGGGUAAUAUUUAACAAAACUCAGGGCAAGUGAGCGAUACGAACGGUGUGUGUGUGUGUGUG
Thalassophryne amazonica is the source of this 112-nucleotide long non-coding RNA. RefSeq lists it as uncharacterized. NCBI's taxonomy places the organism in Eukaryota, Metazoa, Chordata, Actinopteri, Batrachoidiformes, Batrachoididae. The record is from RefSeq and is a predicted model, not a curated record. The transcript has 3 exons.